GGGGUUGUGGCUCAGAGGUAGAGUGCUCACCUAGCACAUGUGAGGCCCUGGGUUCAAUCCUCAGCACCGCA
This 71-nucleotide transfer RNA is filed under the name Marmota monax (woodchuck). RNAcentral's name for it is "tRNA.Ala". It matches the Rfam family "tRNA". From Rfam's summary of the family: Transfer RNA (tRNA) molecules are approximately 80 nucleotides in length. Their secondary structure includes four short double-helical elements and three loops (D, anti-codon, and T loops). The record is from RNAcentral. Lineage: Eukaryota; Metazoa; Chordata; Mammalia; Rodentia; Sciuridae.